Juglans microcarpa x Juglans regia is the source of this 1420-nucleotide long non-coding RNA. RefSeq lists it as uncharacterized. The transcript is spliced from 4 exons. Lineage: Eukaryota; Viridiplantae; Streptophyta; Magnoliopsida; Fagales; Juglandaceae. The record is from RefSeq and is a predicted model, not a curated record.
CAGGUCAAGGCAGGCAUGGGAUGAACUUUGUAGACCAGUGCAUGAGGGGGGUGUUGGUCUACGUAACUUGCAUGAGGUGCAGACUUCACUUCAUAUGAAAUUGGUCUGGAAUUUACUACAGGGACAAGUGGUCUUCUGAUGGCCUACUUAUAGAUCGACAGGAGGUUAGAGAUUCACCGAAUAUUUUAUUAGUAGAUUGCAAGACAAAAAGGGGAUAAAAGGUUGAAGUUUUUGAUUGCCUGGUAGGGAUGGAAAAGUCAGAACAGAUUAUAGAAGAACUGGGUAGAGUGAAACAGGGGAGAGAUGUGCUCAUUUGGCUAGUGCUCAAGGAAGCUUUUCCACCCAUUCAACAUGGAAUUGUAUUCAAACCCAUGCUCCUAAACUGCCGUGGGUACAUUGGUUGUGGCAUCCUGCAAUACCAAGGAAAAUGUCUUUAAUUAUGUGGAAGACUCAAAACAAUUGUCUACCUGUGGAUGAUCGAGUUCGCAGAGCAGGAACCCCAUUGGUCUCAAAGUGUGAUUGUUGUAGUGUUGGGAGAUAUGAGGACCAGAACUAUAUUUUGGCACUUGGGUCUUUUGCGGAACAGAUUUGGCACACUUGUUCUAUAAAGCUUGGAAUGCCUUUAUUGGAAGGUAAAACAUGAAAGGAAAAAAUUGAAGUCUGGUAUAGGCAUGCAAAGCUAUCCUCACAGAGUGCUCAAUUAAUUGGCCUUUUGCCUUAUAUUAUUACUUGGAGACUAUGGACUCGACGGUGUACAACUAGAAUGGAGGGAAAGCAGGAGUCUAUCCAAUCGGUUUGGAGUUCAAUUACAUAUUGGUUGGCUUUAGUAGGAGAAAACCUUACGGUGUCCUCCAACUUUUCUAGAUGGGAAGUGGAGAUUUUGCUAUUAUUUAAUAUCCAUGUUAAGAAAAGAAAGUUUAUAAACUCUAAAAUAGUGCAGUGGACAAAGCCUCAGGAAGGUUGGUAUAAGUUGAAUGUUGAUGGCAGUUCGCUAGGGAAUUCUGGUGCAUUGGGUGGAGGAGGGGCUAUCAGAGAUUAUAAAGGGAAUUUGAUCUCUAGUUUUGCUAUAAAUGCUGGUAUAUAGUCUAAUAAUUUUGCUGAAUUUAUGGGUUUGCUCCAAGGACUACGCAUGGUAAGAUUUUUGGGUUUUUAAAGGGUAGAAAUUGAGAUGGAUUCAAAGUUAGUAAUGGAUUGGUUGAAGAAGAAAAGGUGUGGCCUUUGGUAUUUGGAAGACUACUGAGAGGAGUUGUUAAGCGGAUGCUCUUCUAUUGGAUCAAUAAUGUGUUCUGGGUAGAGACUUGGUAUUAGGUUGUUUUUGUUUGGUUUUUGUUGGUUCAUUUGAGUUUAAUAUUGUAAUCACGGCUUUCCUCAGCCAAAAGUGAGUUUUUUUUUAAUAAAUUAGAGAGGGGUCAUUCUUGGA